RNAcentral lists this signal recognition particle RNA (274 nucleotides) under Candidatus Woesearchaeota archaeon. Its description in RNAcentral is "signal recognition particle sRNA". It matches the Rfam family "Archaeal signal recognition particle RNA". Lineage: Archaea; Nanobdellati; Candidatus Woesearchaeota. The record is from RNAcentral.
GGGCAGACUAGGCCGGUGGGGCAGCCCUCCAUUGUCACCGCAAACGGGCUUCAUGGCGGGGCCGAAGCUGUUGGGGCGGUGCCGUGUGUUCGGCGCCAGCCUUGCCCGGACGUUGACGCUCUGUCCCCUGGGAUUGAUUGCCCCAGGAAUCUGGUCAGGCCAGGAAUGGAGCAGCCAUAACUGAGACAGUCGGUGUCCAGGGGGAUGCGGAGCCGAGAAACGGCGAGGAUCCACUGUUGCCGGAGCAUUGCAUCCACCUUUGGCACGUCUGCCU